UGGUGCCCAACCUUGAGGCUUGAGAACGUGGAGAAUUGGUGAACAUGGCGCACCAAAGCAGGCCUGCAUAUCAGUUGGACCAUCAUGGAGAAUGCUCCACAAGCAAAGGUCCAGUUCAGUGUUCGCCACUGGGAUGCCCGACCAUGAGACAGAUCUGGGGAGUUGAUUUGUGCCAACGCAAGUAAGUUUACCAUGGGACAAGCAUUUAGUAAGCAGAAUUUAUUUAUUUCAGGACUUAAACAGUCUCUCAAGACACGAGGAACAAGGGUUAAAAAGAAAGAUUUUAAAAAGUUUCUUGAUUAUAUUGGGGGACCUUUGUCCCU
Regulatory RNA element from Neotoma lepida (desert woodrat), 323 nucleotides. It matches the Rfam family "Mason-Pfizer monkey virus packaging signal". From Rfam's summary of the family: The packaging signal is located in the 5' UTR and is required for specific RNA encapsidation. NCBI's taxonomy places the organism in Eukaryota, Metazoa, Chordata, Mammalia, Rodentia, Cricetidae. The record is from Rfam.